This 76-nucleotide transfer RNA is filed under the name Halodesulfovibrio sp. RNAcentral's name for it is "tRNA-His". It matches the Rfam family "tRNA". Rfam says of the family: Transfer RNA (tRNA) molecules are approximately 80 nucleotides in length. Their secondary structure includes four short double-helical elements and three loops (D, anti-codon, and T loops). The record is from RNAcentral. Lineage: Bacteria; Pseudomonadati; Thermodesulfobacteriota; Desulfovibrionia; Desulfovibrionales; Desulfovibrionaceae. RNAcentral also lists the same sequence under 2 other names.
GCGGAUGUAGCUCAGUUGGUAGAGCACACGGUUGUGGCCCGUGUUGUCGUGGGUUCAAUCCCCAUCAUUCGCCCCA